AUGGCAGUCAACAUACAAUAUGGAGUGUCUUACUUGACACAAGUGACUGUUUCAAACCCAAAUAGAGAAGCGGAGAGCCAAACCAUUGAGAUGGCUAGAGCUGAGGCUUCUAGAGCGGGUACUUCCACUGUUCCUUCUAGUGUCCAUCUUAGUUCUAGUGAUCAUUAUGAUGAUGACUCUGAUGGUCAGACAUUAGAUCUAGAGGGAAUGAGCGAUGGAUGUUGA
Molecule: non-coding RNA, 225 nt
Organism: Vicia faba (fava bean)
Lineage: Eukaryota; Viridiplantae; Streptophyta; Magnoliopsida; Fabales; Fabaceae
Source: the annotation of a GenBank genome assembly